CGGGCGCCGGGGCCUGCGGCGCGCCCAGCGGCUCCAGGUCCCCGGCUUUAGAAAGAAGACUUGACGCCUGUGACGACUCCCCUCUUAAGCCACAGACAAUAUGAGGACCCCGGGGGUCGGCGCGACCGGGCAGGAUCGCGCCCCGCUUGGGGCUGGACCCUGGUCCACGGAGCCCCGCCCCUAGCCCCGCCCACCACACCUGCCGCCUGCUCGAGGCUUGGACACGCCCGGGUCUUCUCUUGCCCCGCGCUGCGCCACCCGACCUGGGCCCUGGGAUGGGGCAGGGGCGGGGGGUGCUCGGCCCUGCCACACUGUGUGACCUUGGGAAGAUGCUUUUGCUGCUGCCAUUUCACAGACGGGAAAGCGACAACGGCCCGCCUGGACUUGAACACAGGCCCAAGGCCUUCUGACCACUUGCCCGCCUCUGCUGGGUAGGCUCAGGUUAGAGGGCCCUUUGCCCUCCCGGACCCAUUCCUAGGCCAUUGGGGCAGCUCCCUGGGCCCACCUCUCUGCCACUCCUAGCCCAGGCCACCUAGGCAGGAGCUCCCAGCCUGCCCGGGGCUGAUCCCCAGCCCACUGACCCCAGCCCUGGCCCCAGCGGGCAGGCGGGCAUUGCUCAACCUUUGGUGUUAUCUGCUGAGCUGGGGUGACCUCCGCCCCCAAGAGCUGGAGAAAUGACAUCUCUGGGCACCCUUGGUGGGUAGGAGGCAGGGAGGGAGGGGAUAAAACACUGGCCCAGCCUGCUGGCUUUCUGGGUCUUCCCAGCAGCCUCUGGGUUGGGGAGGGAUCAAGGCCCAGAGGGGUGCGGCAGCUUCCCUAGGGCCACCCGGCCAGCCCUUCCUCACUGCAAAAUGGGACACUCAGGGCUGAGCUAGAGGCCACGGCUUCUGAGAGGCCCUCCCUGUCCCACCUGCUAGUGAAUUUCCUUCCCUAUCGCCAGCCACCAUUAUCCUAGCUGUCUACCUCAGUCUCCCUGCAGGCUGCCACUUGGGGAGGGCUGGCCCACGAGGGACUCCUGAGCACAGCACGCUCAACAUUUACCAGUGAAGGAAUGCAUUUGCUGUUCCCUGUGCACCAAGAACACUGUCACCCCACCUCUGCCCAAGGCAGCUCCUCAGUCUUGCUGUCUGUCCCCACGGCCUUCACUACUGUGUCCCUGGUGCCUAGAACAGAGCCUGGUACAUAGAAGGUGCUCGAUGAAUGCUUUUCCCUAUCCCAUUUUCAAGAGGAGAAAACUGAGGCGAUUUGCCAAGGGGAGAUCCACGUGGCUGCUUUGACAGAGAGUGUUCUGCAAAAGGGCUUAGAAAUCAGCCAGCAGGUGGCAGGUUCUGGGACUGCAGGAGCCAUUCACAUGCGUGAAGAUCCGCUGGGCGCCCUUGCUCUGGGAUCAGGAAAGGCCGGUGCCAUGGAUGUGAUAGAUGCACACAGGGCAUCAGCAGGCCGCCGAGAGGAACCAGAGUGUCCAACGAACAGAAAACAGUGCUCAACCUUCACAUUUAUCGAAUGUUCCUUGGCACAUGCUGUAAUUCUGGCCCUAAAGACACAUUCAUGGACAAGACAAGCAAUUCCUGUUCUCGUGGAGCUGAAAUUCUCCUGGGGGAAGACAAGCACUAAACAAGAUCAAUGAUUAAAGUAUAGAUUGUAUUAGAUUCUGGUCAGCACUAUGGAGGAAAAUACAGCAGGGGAGCAGAGCAGGAGUUCUGGGAGAUUUGAUUUUUUGUUUUCUGGGGUUUUUUGUUUGUUUGUUUUUUGAGACAGGGUCUCACUGCUGGAGUGCAGUGGCACGAUCUCUGCUCACUGCAGCCUCUGCUUCUUGGGCUCAGGUGAUCCUCCCACCUCAACCUCCCAAGUAGCUGGGACCACAGGGGCAUGCCACCACACCCAGCUGAUUUUUUAAUGUUUUGUAGAGAUCAGGUCUCAUUAUAUUGCCCAAGCUGGGGGAGUUGAUUUUAACUUUAUGUUAGAGUAGUCAGGGAAGACCUCACUGAGGUGACAUUUAAGCAAAAACCUGAAUGUGGUGAAGCAGGUAUCUGGGGGACCUUGGACCACACAAAGGGAACAGCAAGUGCAAAGGCCCUGAGGUAGGAGCACGUAGUUGUGGUGAUGACGGAGAGUAGCAGGAAUUUGUGUCAUAGAAAUAGUGGGGGCUGGCCAGGCACAGCGGCUCAUGCCUGCAAUCCUAGCACUUUGGGAGGCCGAGGUGGGUGGAUUACUUGAGGUCAGGAGUCUGAGACCAGCCUGGCCAACAUGGUGAAACCCCAUCUCUACUAAAAAUUAAAAAAAAAAAAAUGGCCAGGCAUGGUGGCGUGCAUCUGUAAUCCCAGCUAUUCAGGAGGCUGAGACAUGAGAAUCACUUGAACCCGGGAGGCGGAGGUUGCAGUGAGCCGAAAUUGUGCCUCUGCACUCCAACCUGGGUGACAAAGCAAGACUCUGCCUCCAAAAAAAAAAAAAUGGAACAUGGAAACAUGGAAUGGGAGAAAAUAUUUGCAAAUCAUAUAUCUGAUAAGGGGUUCAUAUCCAGAAUACAUAAAGAACUGUUACAACUCAACAGCAAUAAAAACAACUCAAUUAAAAAUGGGCAAAGGACUUGAAUAAACAUUUCUCCAGAGAAAACUGUGAAUGGCUAAUAAUCACAUGAUAAGAUACUCAACAUCACUAACCAUUAAGGAAAUACAAACCAAAACUGCAAUGAGGCGCAACACUUUGGUGGAUCACCUGAGGUCAAGAGUUGGAGACCAGCCUGGCCGACACGGUGAAACCCCGUCUCUACUAAAAAUACAAAAAUUAGCUGGGCGUGAUGGUACGUGCGUAUAGUCCCAGCUACUUGGGAGGCUGAGGCAGGAGAAUCACUUGAACCUGGGAGGUGGAGGUUGCAGCAAGCCAAGAUCACGCCACUGCACCCCAGCCUGGGCAACUGAGUGAGACUCCAUCUAAAAAACAAACAAAACGCAAUGAGAAGAGAGGAUUUUGAAUGUUCCCGACACAAAGAAAUGAUAAACGCUUGAGGUAAUGGAUAUCCUAAUUACCCAGAUUUGAUUAUUACACGUUGUAUACAUGUAUUGAAAUAUCAUUUUGUAACCCAUGAACAUGUACAAUUAUGUGUCAACUAAAAAUAAAAGGAAUAAAACACAAUGAGAUACCACCUUACGCCCAUUAGGCUGGCUGCUGCGUUGGGAAGGAUGUGUAGAAACUGGAAUGCUUGUGUAGCUACUGUGGGAAAUGGUAUGGCUGUUCCUCAAAAAAUUAAAAAUAGAAUUACCAAAUGACCCAGCAAUUUUAUUUCUGGGUGUGUAUCCAAACGAAUUGAAAGCAAGAUCUUGAAGAGAUAUUUGUACACUCACGUUCAUAGCAGCCUUCUUCACAAUAGCCAAAAGGUGGAAGCAAUUAGCUGGGUGUGGUGGCGGGUGCCUGUAAUCCCUGCUACUU
RNAcentral lists this long non-coding RNA (3426 nucleotides) under Homo sapiens (human). RNAcentral describes it as "HSALNT0268551". The record is from RNAcentral. Lineage: Eukaryota; Metazoa; Chordata; Mammalia; Primates; Hominidae.